Molecule: ribosomal RNA, 292 nt
Filed under: uncultured prokaryote
Description: partial 16S ribosomal RNA
Rfam family: Bacterial small subunit ribosomal RNA
Source: RNAcentral
GUGUCAGCCGCCGCGGUAAUACGUAGGUGGCAAGCGUUGUCCGGAAUUAUUGGGCGUAAAGCGCGCGCAGGCGGUCCUUUAAGUCUGAUGUGAAAGCCCACGACUCAACCGUGGAGGGUCAUUGGAAACUGGGGGACUUGAGGACAGAAGAGGAGAGCGGAAUUCCACGUGUAGCGGUGAAAUGCGUAGAUAUGUGGAGGAACACCAGUGGCGAAGGCGGCUCUCUGGUCUGUAACUGACGCUGAGGCGCGAAAGCAUGGGUAGCGAACAGGAUUAGAAACCCUGGUAGUCC